Molecule: ribosomal RNA, 45 nt
Filed under: Clavulina cf. cristata O 65398
Lineage: Eukaryota; Fungi; Basidiomycota; Agaricomycetes; Cantharellales; Hydnaceae
Description: partial 25S ribosomal RNA
Source: RNAcentral
AUCAGGUGGGACUACCCGCUGAACUUAAGCAUAUCAAUAAGCGGA